GUGCAGGCUGAAGACAGUUGUAGGCAGCUCUCCUCUGGCAGGCGGUCAUCGUCGUCGUCAUCGACGGCUGGUUCUGUGUUCAUCCGGAUCCAUCGUGCAGCCGUGCAUGCAUGCAGUAAUAUUCGGUUACAUGCAUGCAUUAUGCACGCACGUACGUCGUCGUCCUGCCAAAGGAGAGUUGCCCUGCGACUGUCUCCAGCUUCCU
Molecule: microRNA precursor, 205 nt
Filed under: Sorghum bicolor (sorghum)
Lineage: Eukaryota; Viridiplantae; Streptophyta; Magnoliopsida; Poales; Poaceae
Description: miR399d stem-loop (sbi-MIR399d)
Gene: sbi-MIR399d
Source: miRBase by way of RNAcentral